RNAcentral lists this ribosomal RNA (257 nucleotides) under uncultured bacterium. RNAcentral describes it as "partial 16S ribosomal RNA". It matches the Rfam family "Bacterial small subunit ribosomal RNA", at positions 524 to 776 of the family's 1533-position model. The record is from RNAcentral.
UACGUAGGGCGCAAGCGUUUGUCCGGAAUUAUUGGGGCGUAAAGAGCUCGUAGGCGGCCUGUUACGUCUGCUGUGAAAUCCCGGGGCUUAACCCCGGGCGUGCAGUGGAUACGGGCAGGCUGGAGGCAGGCAGGGGAGAACGGAAUUCCCGGUGUAGCGGUGAAAUGCGCAGAUAUCAGGAGGAACACCGGUGGCGAAGGCGGGGUCUCUGGGCAGUAACUGACGCUGGAGGAGCGAAAGCGUGGGGAGCGAACAGG